Long non-coding RNA from Gavia stellata (red-throated loon), 1027 nucleotides. RefSeq lists it as uncharacterized. Lineage: Eukaryota; Metazoa; Chordata; Aves; Gaviiformes; Gaviidae. The transcript has 2 exons. The record is from RefSeq and is a predicted model, not a curated record.
CGGGGCACUGGUCCUUCCCAAAAUCCGCACAGUUGUCAUACGUGGCAAGAAAUAACCUGGAAAUAAAUUCCGAUUAAGACCAACAAAAGGGCUGGGGCUUUCCCUUUCACUUGCAGAACCAACGGGUGCUUUAAUCCCUGGCUGCCCCGUUGCUGGGAUAAAGACCGUGCGUGUGAAUUGCUUUUGUUCUCACGUUCUUAUUAACGGGGUAACGGAGGUGCUCAUACUCCCUCGCUGUCUUGCUUAGUUGGCAGGACGCCGGCUUCCCAAAUGUCACCUCCUCCCGCACAGGAUGGAGUGCCAGCUCUGCCCGCUUCCACACCCAGGAGCUACUGUCCCGCUCUUACAGUCAAAGUCUUCAUCUCGGCGAGUUGUCUGCUUCCAAGCAGUCCGUUGGCAACUUGUCUGUCUUGCCAAUUGGUCUGUACAUUUAAUUAAACAGUGAGGACUGAAUUGUAUGGCACCGUCACCAUAUAUGAUCUGAUUCUGGAGGGCGACAAGCGCGUAAUUGCACAAACCUAAACCGAAGCCGGGAGCGCAGCGAGCCGCUGCUCGCCUGAUGGUCCGGCAGCUCCGCCGUUCCAGCGAGGAGAAUUCAUUGCACCGGUGGGGAAUAUGGUUGAGUUCAAGCUGAGUCGAAACAAGCUGAGGCCAAGAGAAGUCCUUAAGCUUCGUGGUCGGCUGAGAGCGAUGGCACCACCGUAUUUACCGUGCGACAGGGCUGCAUUGCAACCCUCCUCGGCACCGGCACCGCCAAGCUGAGCUGCAGGAAAGGUUUGGUUCUGGUUUCAGAUGGUGCUGUGCCAGGGGAGGGAUGGAGAAACCUUUUUGUCUCACCUGAAAAAUGCCGGUGAGAGCCCUGGGAAGGCUGCGGAGCAAGGCUGGCUCUGAGGUUAAAGCGGGGAUUUUGGUACUGGUUUUUGGCGUUGUCACAAUCUAACACAUUAAAAUAUAUUUUAAUUUCUUAAGUGUCCAAAACACGCUGAAGGAGUCAAGAGAAAAUAAAGACAUUGCUGGAAUAACCUGA